RNAcentral lists this ribosomal RNA (301 nucleotides) under uncultured bacterium. RNAcentral describes it as "partial 16S ribosomal RNA". It matches the Rfam family "Bacterial small subunit ribosomal RNA", at positions 509 to 809 of the family's 1533-position model. The record is from RNAcentral.
CAGCAGCCGCGGGAAUGCGAAGGGGGCUAGCGUUGUUCGGAUUUACUGGGCGUAAAGGGCUCGCAGGCGGUUUCUUAAGUCUGAUGUGAAAGCCCCCGGCUCAACCGGGGAGGGUCAUUGGAAACUGGGAAACUUGAGUGCAGAAGAGGAGAGUGGAAUUCCACGUGUAGCGGUGAAAUGCGUAGAGAUGUGGAGGAACACCAGUGGCGAAGGCGACUCUCUGGUCUGUAACUGACGCUGAGGAGCGAAAGCGUGGGGAGCAAACAGGAUUAGAUACCCCCGUAGUCCCUGUCUCUUAUAA